CAGCCGCCGCGGUAACCCCAGCGCCACAAGUGGGAACCACGCUUAUUGGGUCUAAAGCAUCCGUAGCCGGUUCUGCAAAUGCCCUGUGAAAUCGUUGCGCUUAACGUAACGGCGUGCAGGGUAGACUACCGAACUAGAGACCAGAGGAAGGAGACGGUAUUCCUGAGGGAGCGGUAAAAUGUGAUAAUCUCAGGAGGACCACCGAUGGCGAAGGCAGUCUACUAAUAUGGAUCCGACGGUGAGGGAUGAAAGCUAGGGGAGCGAUCCGGAUUAGAUACCCGAAUAGUCCUAUCCGUAAACGCUGCAUGCCUUAUGUUAUUUGAUCUUCGAGAUUGUGUAGUGUCGAAACAAAGGUGUUAAACAUGCCCCCCCUCAAAGUACCCCCCUAAAGGGGGUCUAUUUCAAUUAAAUGGGGGGGGGGUA
Molecule: ribosomal RNA, 423 nt
Filed under: uncultured archaeon
Lineage: Archaea
Description: partial 16S ribosomal RNA
Rfam family: Archaeal small subunit ribosomal RNA
Source: RNAcentral